This 1120-nucleotide ribosomal RNA is filed under the name Prevotella sp. RNAcentral's name for it is "partial 23S ribosomal RNA". It matches the Rfam family "Bacterial large subunit ribosomal RNA", at positions 1 to 1115 of the family's 2925-position model. The record is from RNAcentral. Lineage: Bacteria; Pseudomonadati; Bacteroidota; Bacteroidia; Bacteroidales; Prevotellaceae.
AAGAAAGGAGAGAAGGGCACAUGAAGGAUGCCUGGGCUCUCGGAGGCGACGAAGGACGUGAUAAGCUGCGAUAAGCCGCGGGGAGGAGCAAAUAUCCCCUGAUCCGCGGAUCUCCGAAUGGGGCAACCCGUGCCGGGCAGCCGGCACAUCCGCAUCAAGUGCGGAGGCGAACCCGGGGAACUGAAACAUCUCAGUACCCGGAGGAAGAGAAAAUAAACCAAUGAUUGCGCCAGUAGUGGCGAGCGAACGCGCAAGAGCCCAAACCGGCGGUGUUUCGGCACCGACCGGGGUUGUAGGACCGUCAGCGAAUGGACAGUAUGAAGUUAGCCGAAGCGCCUGGAAAGGCGCGCCGCAGCGGGUGAAAGCCCCAUAGGCGAAAACGGAAGACUGACAGAGACGGCACCUGAGUAAGCCGGGACACGAGGAAUCCUGGCCGAAUCCGCGGGGACCAUCCCGCAAGGCUAAACACUACCGAGAGACCGAUAGCGAACCAGUACCGUGAGGGAAAGGUGAAAAGAACCUCGAACAGAGGAGUGAAACAGACCCUGAAAUCAUGUGCCUACAAGCGGUCGGAGCCACUUCGUGUGGUGACGGCGUGCCUUUUGCAUAAUGAACCUACGAGUUACCGUCGCCGGCGAGGCUAAGACCCGCAGGGUCGGAGCCGGAGCGAAAGCGAGUCUGAACAAGGCGCAUUUAGUCAGCGGCGGUAGACGCGAAACCAAGUGAUCUACCCUUGAGCAGGUUGAAGGUGGGGUAACACCCACUGGAGGACCGAACCGGUAAGCGUUGAAAAGCUUUCGGAUGACUUGAGGGUAGGAGUGAAAGGCCAAUCAAACUUGGAGAUAGCUCGUACUCCCCGAAAUGCAUUUAGGUGCAGCCUCGGGCGCAGUACCGUGGAGGUAGAGCGACUGAUAGGAUGCGAGGGCUUCACCGCCUAUCAAGUCCUGACAAACUCCGAAUGCCACGGCACGAUCCCCGGGAGUGAGGGCGCGGGUGCUAAGGUCCGCGUCCGAGAGAGGAACAACUCAGACCACCGUCUAAGGCCCCGAAAUCCGGGCUAAGUUGAAGACAAUAACGAGGUGGGACCGCAAGGACAGCUAGGAUGUUGGCUUGGAAGCAG